RNAcentral lists this transfer RNA (67 nucleotides) under Marmota monax (woodchuck). Its description in RNAcentral is "tRNA.Val". Lineage: Eukaryota; Metazoa; Chordata; Mammalia; Rodentia; Sciuridae. The record is from RNAcentral.
GGAUGUAGCUCAGUGGUAGAGGGCUCCCCUCACAUGCAGGAGGCCCUGGGUUCAAUCCUCAGCACCA